This 227-nucleotide long non-coding RNA is filed under the name Capsicum annuum. RNAcentral's name for it is "long non-coding RNA (CANN_LNC008421)". Lineage: Eukaryota; Viridiplantae; Streptophyta; Magnoliopsida; Solanales; Solanaceae. The record is from RNAcentral.
UCUUUCCAAACCUACCGCUUUUUUCGUCUUUUAAAAACCUCUUUUAUCUCAAAAGCCUCUGAAAACUAAGUUUUUUCUCUCUGAAUUUUCUCACGAAAUUUAUUUCUAUCUUUCUUGUUUUUUAAAAAUCUCCCCUCAAGUAAAGCACUCCCCUCCCUAUUUAUAGGCAUAAAUCCGGACUACAACUCCGGAUUUGAAACCCUAAAAUAGAAAAACGGAUGGCAAAG